UACCGGGGUAACGACGAGCGCGUGGGGCUAAGGAAGCUACCCUUGAGAAAUGGCAGAAGCAGUUUUCCGUGCCCCAAAGCGGAAAAGAAGAGUGUAUGAGAGUUACGAGUCUCCACUGCCCAUCCCUUUUGGUCAGGAUUGUGGGCCUAAGCAAGACUUCAAAGUGUUCACAGCAGAGCUGAUAAACAACAAUGUAAUUGUGAGGAACGCAGAAGAUAUGGAGCAGCUCUAUGGGAGAGGUUAUUUUGGAAAAGGUAUCCUGUCUAGAAGCCGUCCAAACUUCACAAUUUCAGAUCCUAAGCUCAUUGCUAAGUGGAAAGAUAUGAAGACAGACAUGCCUAUAAUCACGUCAAAGAAGUAUCAGCAUCGUGUGGAGUGGGCCGCAGAGCUCAUGCGAGGACAAGGGCAGGAGGAGAGUACAGUGCAGAGAAUCCUCCAGGAUUAUACAAAACCACUCGAGCAUCCUGGUAUAAAAAGGAAAGAAGGUCAAUGGCACGAUGAGAACUCUGAAACGACUUCCAAAAUGGAAGUUACCGCAGAUAGAGAGGAACCUUCUGUGAUGAAUGGGGACUCAGGAAAGUCAGUUGACAUGGACGGUCCCAGCAAGCCAUCAGACAACCUGCAGCAGGGCCCUGGGCCUGACCCGCUCGCUCCCAACGGCGUGGGUGAACCUGUGGCGGAGGUGGCCAAGCCACAGCACCGCCUCCUGCCCCGAGUUUCUUGUGGCAAAGAAGGUGUCCUCCUCCCCCUAUCUGACACUCAGCCUGGAGACGGGAGCCAACCCACAGGUCUCUGUGCCGGCGAGAGGGUGCCUGGUGAUGAGUACGUGCUGGUGGAGGAAGAUGUGUAUGAUGAGAGCGAGAAGGAAUGUGCCCCAAGUGAAGAAUUGGCACCAAAAAGGAGAUUAGUAUGCAGAAGAAAUCCAUAUAGGAUCUUGGAGUAUUUGCAGCUUAGCUUAGAAGAGGCCUUUUUCCUGGUCUAUGCUCUGGGAUGUCUGAGUAUUUACUAUGAGAAGGAGCCUUUAACAAUCCUGAAGCUCUGGAAAGCUUUCACUGCAGUUCAGCCCACAUUCAGGACUACAUACAUGGCAUACCAUUACUUCCGAAGCAAGGGCUGGGUUCCCAAAGUGGGACUUAAGUAUGGGACAGAUUUAUUGUUGUAUCGAAAAGGCCCUCCAUUUUACCAUGCAAGUUACUCUGUCAUUAUUGAGUUGGUCGAUGACCAUUUUGAGGGCUCUCUUCGCAGACCUUUCAGUUGGAGGUCACUGGCUGCCUUGAGCAGAGUUUCAGUUAAUGUCUCCAAGGAACUGAUGCUGUGCUAUUUGAUUAAACCCUCUACCAUGACUGACAAAGAGAUGGAGUCCCCAGAAUGUAUGAAACAAAUUAAAGUUCAGGAGGUGAUUCUAAGCCGUUGGGUUUCUUCACGAGAGAGGAGUGACCAAGAUGAACUUUAACAAUUCAACCUCAGAAUUCUACUUUAUCAGCAAAUGCUAUUCAGUCUCCUACAGUAAGCCAAGUUCAGUGUGAGGCUCCUUAGCAAAGUAAAAGACUUGGCUUUGAAGCAGCACCCUCUCAAAACCCUGAGGGUGAGCAAAAUUUCUGGAGCCAUUUUUUUCUCUAUUUCAUCUGUCAUUGGUGGUGACGUUUCUCUCCAAGCCUGAUCAGUGUAUCAUGUGCCUUUCUGGUAAAACAUGAAUCCUUCAUCAAAGUCCUGUCCUCCUGUGAGCACUCCACGUCACAUAUCUUAUCAUCAGCUAAUGUGCCUUCAAGGUUGUGGGAACUCCCUUCAUGUAAUGGCCACAUUAAAGAUGCAGAAAAGCCACAAGACUGCACAGGUAUUAUUUCUAACUGAAGGCUCUAGAAGAAUGUUCAAAAGCAUCAUCUUUAGACCAGCCUCUUAGGAAAGAUUUUCCUUCUUCAAGUCCACAGUGUGAAUGUCAUGUAGCAGCCCAUGCGCUCUUCAGCAUUACCCAGGGGCCCUGGGGUUCUGGAAUGAUGUACCGCAAAGGUUUUGGUUUACAUGCGCCUCACAGUUACCAGCAAAAAGAGUAGGAUUAGCUUAUCUGUAGAUGUAUUAUGUCCUGGAACUUUUUUCUCACCUUCUGAAAUAAACGUAACAGAUGGCGUGUGUUUUCUUUUUAAAAAGCUCAGGUUGAGCAAGAUUGGAAAUUUGUUCUGUGAUAAAACCACCUUCAGGCAUGGCCGUGGUUCACUGAGGGAGAUGCUGCUGCCUCACUGAAAACGGAAGUUGCUUCACCUACUCUCUUCAAAGUGUGUUUAUGUGGCUCUUAAAUCAUGAACCUUCCAGGCUUGCUUCAAAACGAAUUCUUCACCAAAUCCUCCCUCUGCUCCAGCACUUCUCAGCCCUUCCGAGGCAUCUAAGCUGCUUGCUGUAGCAACAUGUGCUCAGGGGCAUCGCGCUGACCAGCUGUGCACCCUCCAUACAAGGAUUUCACUGGAUUUCAAGUAGCAUGCCACACUCAAGAGCACCAUCAAACUUCGUGGAACCAACACUUUUUCCAAGUUCUGUUUUGUCACCCAGUGCAAAAAACCAUACACAAAUAAAGGGGGAACACAU
RNA transcript from Enhydra lutris kenyoni (northern sea otter), 2577 nucleotides. It is a transcript of the gene named tRNA splicing endonuclease subunit 2, with no coding region annotated. Lineage: Eukaryota; Metazoa; Chordata; Mammalia; Carnivora; Mustelidae. The transcript is spliced from 13 exons. The record is from RefSeq and is a predicted model, not a curated record.